UACGUAGGGGGCGAGCGUUGUCCGGAUUUAUUGGGCGUAAAGAGCUCGUAGGCGGCUUGGCAAGUCGGGUGUGAAACCUCCAGGCUCAACCUGGAGACGCCACUCGAUACUGCUAUGGCUAGAGUCCGGUAGGGGACCACGGAAUUCCUGGUGUAGCGGUGAAAUGCGCAGAUAUCAGGAGGAACACCGGUGGCGAAGGCGGUUCUCUGGGCCUGUACUGACGCUGAGGAACGAAAGCGUGGGGAGCGAACAGG
RNAcentral lists this ribosomal RNA (254 nucleotides) under uncultured bacterium. RNAcentral's name for it is "partial 16S ribosomal RNA". It matches the Rfam family "Bacterial small subunit ribosomal RNA", at positions 524 to 776 of the family's 1533-position model. The record is from RNAcentral.